Molecule: small nuclear RNA, 122 nt
Organism: Homo sapiens (human)
Lineage: Eukaryota; Metazoa; Chordata; Mammalia; Primates; Hominidae
Source: Ensembl
AAAGUCAACUUAAGGUUUACUACUGUCCAAUGAGUGCACAGUGAGGGCACUACUGCUAACGCCUACACAAGACACCCACAUCAAUUAGAGCUUUGCUUUACUUUGGUGCAAUUUUUGGAAAA